CAGUAGUAAAAAACAUUUAUUUCAUUUUUAAAAUACUUAAAAAAAAAAAAAAAAGUAUGAUUAUUGUGCUUCUCAAGGGCGGUAUAGUCCUAUUCUGAGUCCCCCUGAGAGAAUUGUAUUGGCCAGGUUUGGUGAUACAUUGAGCACAUGCACUUUGCACAAAGUGGACUGACCUGCAGAUGGGAGUAGCAACGCACACUCCCAGGCAGUCCGCAAGGAAUGGGCGCUCACACAUACGAUAGGUGGGUGGUAAAGCGCUCACACAUACGAUAGGUGGGUGGUAAAGACAUAUACACAAAUACAUGAGAUACAACACUCAAUGAUGAGUGGACAUUAGAUUAGUAAACAUUUAUUUUUUUAAUAAGAGUUAAAAUGAUACAAUUUAUUUGUUGACAGAGUUUGAGAGCAAG
Molecule: non-coding RNA, 410 nt
Organism: Pelobates cultripes (western spadefoot toad)
Lineage: Eukaryota; Metazoa; Chordata; Amphibia; Anura; Pelobatidae
Source: the annotation of a GenBank genome assembly